RNAcentral lists this ribosomal RNA (235 nucleotides) under uncultured bacterium. Its description in RNAcentral is "partial 16S ribosomal RNA". It matches the Rfam family "Bacterial small subunit ribosomal RNA", at positions 120 to 354 of the family's 1533-position model. The record is from RNAcentral.
AGUAACCUGCCUUGGAGUGGGGAAUAACAGUUGGAAACAGCUGCUAAUACCGCAUAAUGCAGUUGAGUCGCAUGGCUCUGACUGCCAAAGAUUUAUCGCUCUGAGAUGGACUCGCGUCUGAUUAGCUAGUUGGUGGGGCAACGGCCCACCAAGGCGACGAUCAGUAGCCGGACUGAGAGGUUGGCCGGCCACAUUGGGACUGAGACACGGCCCAGACUCCUACGGAAGGCAGCAG